This 252-nucleotide ribosomal RNA is filed under the name uncultured bacterium. RNAcentral describes it as "partial 16S ribosomal RNA". It matches the Rfam family "Bacterial small subunit ribosomal RNA", at positions 524 to 776 of the family's 1533-position model. The record is from RNAcentral.
UACGGAGGGUGCGAGCGUUGUCCGGAAUCACUGGGCGUAAAGGGCGCGUAGGCGGCCUGAUAAGUAGGGGGUGAAAUCUUGCGGCUUAACCGCAAGGCUGCCUUCUAAACUGUCAGGCUCGAGCACAGUAGAGGCAGGUGGAAUUCCCGGUGUAGCGGUGGAAUGCGUAGAGAUCGGGAAGAACAUCAGUGGCGAAGGCGGCCUGCUGGCUGUUGCUGACGCUGAGGCGCGACAGCGUGGGGAGCAAACAGG